Alosa sapidissima (American shad) is the source of this 434-nucleotide long non-coding RNA. RefSeq lists it as uncharacterized. The transcript is spliced from 3 exons. The record is from RefSeq and is a predicted model, not a curated record. Lineage: Eukaryota; Metazoa; Chordata; Actinopteri; Clupeiformes; Clupeidae.
AGCCAAUACACGUUAAUCUAGGGAGUGCUUUCCACCGAUGGAGACAGCUUGGAUAGCAAGGAGAUGCAGUUCGAUUCUGAACUUGCGACAUUUCUUCUUGACUGGAUCAGAAUUCCAGUCCAGUCCUCCUUUAUGAAGGUGUAACGAUUACAUUGCUGUUGCCCAACAGAUUGGUGUGUCAACAGGUUGAAUUUCCUGCUGCAGAUCACCUCUUCAUUUCCUGUGGCUCAUCAACAUGAAGCCUGACUCGUUAGCCCAACUUCUUGCUGUUGAAGACUGCUAAGGACUAUCCAUGUGCCCAGCUGCUUCCCUCCUGCCUCAUAUAGUCCAAAAGUUACAUUUCUAUUCAUGUUGUUGCACUUGGUAUAUGUAAAGUUUAUUCCUGUCUUGUAGUUUUAUGAUAAAUACCAAGAAUCAGGAUUGGUGAAACAUUG